CCUACGGGAGGCAGCAGUGAGGAAUAUUGGUCAAUGGCCGGAAGGCUGAACCAGCCAUGCCGCGUGAAGGUCAGUGCCCUAUGGGCGUUAAACUUCUUUUGUGCGGGAGCAAUAAUGGUCACGUGUGGCCAGACGAGAGUUCCGUACGAAUAAGCAUCGGGUAACUGCGUGCCAGCAGCCGCGGUGAUACGGGGGAUGCAAGCGUUAUCCGGGUUUAUUGGGGUUAAAGGGUGCGUAGGCGGGGAGGUAAGUCAGCGGUGAAAUGCCCCCGCUCAACGGGGUGAAGUGCAAUUGAUACUGCCUGGCUGGAGUGCGGAUGCGGUGGGAGGAAUGUGUGGUGUAGCGGUGAAAUGCAUAGAUAUCACACAGAACACCGAUUGCGAAGGCAUCUCACGAAUCCGCGAUUGACGCUGAUGCACGAAGGCGUGGGUAUCAAACAGGAGUAGAUACCCGAGUAGUC
Molecule: ribosomal RNA, 460 nt
Filed under: uncultured bacterium
Lineage: Bacteria
Description: partial 16S ribosomal RNA
Rfam family: Bacterial small subunit ribosomal RNA
Source: RNAcentral